CAGUCGCCGCGGGAAUACGAAGGGGGCUAGCGUUGUUCGGAAUUACUGGGCGUAAAGCGCACGUAGGCGGAUAUUUAAGUCAGGGGUGAAAUCCCAGAGCUCAACUCUGGAACUGCCUUUGAUACUGGGUAUCUUGAGUAUGGAAGAGGUGAGUGGAAUUCCGAGUGUAGAGGUGAAAUUCGUAGAUAUUCGGAGGAACACCAGUGGCGAAGGCGGCUCACUGGUCCAUUACUGACGCUGAGGUGCGAAAGCGUGGGGAGCAAACAGGACUAGAGACCCCUGUAGUCCCUGUCUCUUAUAC
RNAcentral lists this ribosomal RNA (301 nucleotides) under uncultured bacterium. Its description in RNAcentral is "partial 16S ribosomal RNA". It matches the Rfam family "Bacterial small subunit ribosomal RNA", at positions 509 to 807 of the family's 1533-position model. The record is from RNAcentral.